AACGAACGCUGGCGGCAUGCCUAACACAUGCAAGUCGAACGAGACCUUCGGGUCUAGUGGCGCACGGGUGCGUAACGCGUGGGAACCUGCCUUUAGGUUCGGAAUGCUUCAGUGAAAUUUGACCUAAUACCGGUGGAUGUAUUCGGACAUAAGAUUUCUCGCUUUUUGAUGGGCCCGGGUUGGUUUCGCUGGUUGGGGGGGUAAAGGCCUACCAAGGGCACGUUCCAUGGCUGGUCUGUGAGGAUGAUCAGCCCCACUGGGACUGAGACACGGCCCAGCCUCCUACGGGAGGCAGCGGUGGGGAAUAUUAUACAAUGAGCGAAAACCUGAUCCAGCAAUGCCGCGUGAGUGAGGAAGGCCUUAGGGUUGUAAAGCUCUUUUACCCGAGAUGAUAAUGACAGUAUCGGGAGAAUAAGCACCGGCUAACUCCGUG
RNAcentral lists this ribosomal RNA (433 nucleotides) under uncultured bacterium. RNAcentral's name for it is "partial 16S ribosomal RNA". It matches the Rfam family "Bacterial small subunit ribosomal RNA", at positions 29 to 507 of the family's 1533-position model. The record is from RNAcentral.